GACGAACGCUGGCGGCGUGCCUAAUACAUGCAAGUAGAACGCUGAAGGAGGAGCUUGCUUCUCUGGAUGAGUUGCGAACGGGUGAGUAACGCGUAGGUAACCUGCCUGGUAGCGGGGGGUAACUAUUGGAAACGAUAGCUAAUACCGCAUAAUAGCAGUUGUUGCAUGACAACUGUUUGAAAGGUGCAAUUGCACCACUACCAGAUGGACCUGCGUUGUAUUAGCUAGUUGGUGGGGUAACGGCUCACCAAGGCGACGAUACAUAGCCGACCUGAGAGGGUGAUCGGCCACACUGGGACUGAGACACGGCCCAGACUCCUACGGGAGGCAGCAGUAGGGAAUCUUCGGCAAUGGACGGAAGUCUGGCCGAGCAACGCCGCGUGAGUGAAGAAGGUUUUCGGAUCGUAAAGCUCUGUUGUAAGAGAAGAACGAGUGUGAGAGUGGAAAGUUCACACUGUGACGGUAGCUUACCAGAAAGGGACGGCUAACUACGUG
RNAcentral lists this ribosomal RNA (495 nucleotides) under uncultured bacterium. RNAcentral's name for it is "partial 16S ribosomal RNA". It matches the Rfam family "Bacterial small subunit ribosomal RNA", at positions 28 to 507 of the family's 1533-position model. The record is from RNAcentral.